GUUUUUGGGGUUAGAGGUUUGUUACUGAUUGUCGAUGUCUCUGGUUCCUUUUGAACCAUGUCCCUCUCUGGGCAUGACACCGUCAUGGUUCCUCUAUGAACCUGACGCCAUUGGACUGAAGUCCUACCUAACUCCAAAUAUAUGCAUGCAUGAUCAUGUAUAGCAAACAUGCAUGCAACUCAAACAAACAUCAAAAAUCAUCUUAAAAAGGUUCUCAAAAAUCAUCAUCAAAAUAUGGUUUCAC
RNAcentral lists this long non-coding RNA (244 nucleotides) under Lathyrus oleraceus (garden pea). RNAcentral's name for it is "Pisum sativum (pea) long non-coding RNA (PSAT_LNC022284)". The record is from RNAcentral. Lineage: Eukaryota; Viridiplantae; Streptophyta; Magnoliopsida; Fabales; Fabaceae.